UACGUAGGGGGCAAGCGUUGUCCGGAUUUAUUGGGCGUAAAGCGCGCGCAGGCGGUCUGCCAAGUUCGGAGUGACAGUUUCCGGCUUAACCGGAAAAGGUCUUCGAAAACUGGUGGACUUGAGGACUUGAGAGGGAGACGGAAUUCCGGGUGGAGCGGUGAAAUGCGUAGAGAUCCGGAGGAACACCAGUGGCGAAGGCGACACGCUGGGCCGUACCUGACGCUAAAGCGCGACAGCAUGGGGAGCAAACGGG
This 253-nucleotide ribosomal RNA is filed under the name uncultured bacterium. Its description in RNAcentral is "partial 16S ribosomal RNA". It matches the Rfam family "Bacterial small subunit ribosomal RNA", at positions 524 to 776 of the family's 1533-position model. The record is from RNAcentral.